Molecule: long non-coding RNA, 654 nt
Organism: Triticum aestivum (bread wheat)
Lineage: Eukaryota; Viridiplantae; Streptophyta; Magnoliopsida; Poales; Poaceae
Exons: 3
Source: RefSeq, a predicted model, not a curated record
GCUCCUUCCUCGCUCUCAUCUCACGCAUGACCUACCUUCGCCAACCCUAGGUGUGCCGCCGCCACCAUGAUCUUCAUCUCGCAGCCCCUCAACCGCCCCGUCGGAGCGGCGCCUCCGUCUACGCCUAGCCGCCGCUGUUCUCCUUCUCAUGUCUUCCCAAAAGGUGCAGCAGGGAGCAUCUUUUUCUCGAGCCGACGACGAUCUCUAUCCCCAAAUCAGUGGCGCACUACAUCCCUGAAGCACAAGUCCGAUUUUUCAAGCCAUAUCUAGAGUCCUCAGGCGCGCCGUCCCCAGAUCCAGCAUGUCGAGCAACUAGCCGGAGAUCCUUUGUAGAUGUCAACAGAAGGUGUCAAGGUGAUCAGUAUAUUAGAGACUUCAAGUGAUCUGAACCGGAAGUUGUCAAAGUUUAGUACCUGAAUUUGGUUGAUCCGAAUGAGAAUACCAGAUGGUUGAUACGAACCGGAGCGGCUGUUUGUCUAUUCAACGGACGAAAUCGAUCCGCUGUGGUUUGAAGGAAGUAAUCAAUCUUCAGUUUCUGGUUGACUCAUGGUGGAUGAUGUAUGCCACUUGCUGGUGACGCUUAAGGCAGUAGGUGUGACUUUCUGUUUUCUUUAGUACAAGCAUCUGUGCAUAUAAGCUACCUCACCUUGCACU